RNAcentral lists this ribosomal RNA (1366 nucleotides) under Uroleptus gallina. RNAcentral's name for it is "eukaryotic LSU rRNA". The stretch from base 516 to 1366 matches the Rfam family "Eukaryotic large subunit ribosomal RNA", at positions 1 to 840 of the family's 3401-position model. The record is from RNAcentral. Lineage: Eukaryota; Ciliophora; Spirotrichea; Urostylida; Urostylidae.
GUCGUAACAAGGUUUCCGUAGGUGAACCUGCGGAAGGAUCAUUAACGCUAUCCAUCUCAACUCAACGAAGCCUUCAGUUGCAGCAGUGGUGCGUUCGCGUGCAGCUGCCGCAGCAACUUCCAAAACUAAUCCAAACAAAGGAGCCUAACUAAGCUCAACCACUAAAACCAAAUUCUCAACGGUGGAUGUCUUGGUUCCCACAACGAUGAAGAACGCAGCGAAGUGCGAUAAGCAGUGCGAAUUGCAGAACCGUGAGUCAUCAGAUUUUUGAACGCAACUGGCGCCGCGCGGGGUCACCCGUCGGCACGCCUGGUCCAGUGUCUUGUUCUCUCCUCACCCAAAUCCUAAUGCGAGAGAUGCCCUUCUCUUGCCAAGCAUGAAAGCACUCUGCACUCUGCGAGCGGCCUCCGGGUCGCACUCAAUGCAGCAGUCACAUUCCUCGUAGUGUGAACUCAUUGAGAGUGGAGGCAGUGCAGCAACAGCUGCCAGUGCUUAGACACACCAACUUCGGUACAGCAUCUGGGCUCAGGUGGGACCACCCGCUGAACUUAAGCAUAUCACUAAGCGGAGGAAAAGAAACUAACUAGGAUGGCCUCAGUAACGGCGAGUGAAGUGGCCAGAGCCCAAGAUGGUAAUCUCCGUGCCUGGCGCGGCGAAUUGUAAUCUAGAGGAGUCAUGCUCACCGGGUGGUGGCGCAGAAGUGCCCUGGAACGGGCCGCCAGAGAGGGUGACAGCCCCGUACGUGGUGCCGCCGCCUAACGAGCAGGCUUUCGAAGAGUCGGGUUGUUUUGUAUUGCAGCCCUAAGUGGGAGAUAAACUUCUUCUAAGGCUAAAUAUAUGUGGGAAACCGAUAGCGAACAAGUACUGUGAAGGAAAGAUGAAAAGCACUUUGGAAAGAGAGUCAAAAGACCUGAAACCGUUGAGGAGGAAGCGGUAGAGAUGAAUUCUACGGCAAGGCGCUGGGAGCUGGCCCAACCAUGGCAGGCUGGUCGUACGUCAAAGGCGGCCGCAGGCUAUCGGGGAAGCCGGUGACUUGUGCUCGGUCGUGAGGCCGGAUGGGGUGACGUGAUCACAGAGGCCUGCCGGGCCUGGCUUCAUUCGUGGGGCAGCCCGGUGGUGCCGGUGGCCGCGUGGCCUGAGGGUGCUUCGUGCGAUCCGGUCAAAAUGGUCUUUACCGACCCGUCUUGAAACACGGACCAAGGAGUCUAACGUACGCGCGAGUGUGCCGGUGGAGAAACCGACACGCGUAAUGAAGGUGAGUGAUGCCAAGCGCAAGCAGCAGCAUCGACCGACCAUGAACCUCCGGGUGAAAGGUUUGAGUACGAGCGUGUCCGCUAGGACCCGAAAGAUGGUGAACUAUGCGUGA